Non-coding RNA from Pelobates cultripes (western spadefoot toad), 321 nucleotides. The record is from the annotation of a GenBank genome assembly. Lineage: Eukaryota; Metazoa; Chordata; Amphibia; Anura; Pelobatidae.
AUCCCACCAAAAUGAUCUAGUGAUCGCGGCAGUGGACUUAUUGAUGCCCGGGUGUCCAGCAGUUAUAUUGUCAUGGAACACUUUCAUGAUAUUAACCCUUUCACAUAGGGGAACGAACAGUUUAUCACACGGUUUACCACUGGGCACCUGAGGCUGGGCCUCCAGUAUGGUGCCAAGCAGUGGAGAAGACAGUGAGAGGACAAUAGUGGCAAUAAUACACUCUGGUGGAAUAAUAGGAGAUGUCACCUGUUCUGGAGCUGACUCAUUAUCAAAUUGCCUGGACAAGGCAUCAGCCUUGGUAUUUUUAGAACCAGGUCUAUA